This 439-nucleotide ribosomal RNA is filed under the name uncultured bacterium. RNAcentral describes it as "partial 16S ribosomal RNA". It matches the Rfam family "Bacterial small subunit ribosomal RNA", at positions 339 to 795 of the family's 1533-position model. The record is from RNAcentral.
CUACGAGAGGCACCAGUGGGGAAUAUUGCACAAUGGAGGAGACUCUGAUGCAGCAACGCCGCGUGGAGGAUGACACUUUUCGGAGCGUAAACUCCUUUUAUAUAGGAAGAAGAUGACGGUACUAUAUGAAUAAGCGCCGGCUAACUCCGUGCCAGCAGCCGCGGUAAUACGGAGGGCGCAAGCGUUACUCGGAAUCACUGGGCGUAAAGAGCGUGUAGGCGGAUUAAAAAGUCAGAAGUGAAAUCCUAUAGCUUAACUAUAGAACUGCUUCUGAAACUCUUAAUCUAGAAUAUGGGAGAGGUAGAUGGAAUUCCUGGUGUAGGGGUAAAAUCCGUAGAGAUCAGAAGGAAUACCGAUUGCGAAGGCGAUCUACUAGAACAUUAUUGACGCUGAGACGCGAAAGCGUGGGGAGCAAACAGGAUUAGAUACCCCGGUAGUC